CAGCCGCCGCGGUAAGACAGAGGAUGCAAGCGUUAUCCGGAAUGAUUGGGCGUAAAGCGUCUGUAGGUGGCUUUUCAAGUCCGCCGUCAAAUCCCAGGGCUCAACCCUGGACAGGCGGCGGAAACUACCAAGCUGGAGUACGGUAGGGGCAGAGGGAAUUUCCGGUGUAGCAGUGAAAUGCGUAGAGAUCGGAAGGAACAUCUGUGGCGAAGGCGACUAUCUGGGCCAACACUGACACUGAGGCACGAAGGCGUGGGGAGCAAACAGGAUUAGAUACCCCGGUAGUCCCUGUCUCUUAUAC
RNAcentral lists this ribosomal RNA (301 nucleotides) under uncultured bacterium. RNAcentral describes it as "partial 16S ribosomal RNA". It matches the Rfam family "Bacterial small subunit ribosomal RNA", at positions 509 to 807 of the family's 1533-position model. The record is from RNAcentral.